RNAcentral lists this ribosomal RNA (434 nucleotides) under uncultured Coprococcus sp. RNAcentral's name for it is "partial 16S ribosomal RNA". It matches the Rfam family "Bacterial small subunit ribosomal RNA", at positions 341 to 792 of the family's 1533-position model. Lineage: Bacteria; Bacillati; Bacillota; Clostridia; Lachnospirales; Lachnospiraceae. The record is from RNAcentral.
ACGGAAGGCAGCAGUGGGGAAUAUUGCACAAUGGGGGAAACCCUGAUGCAGCAACGCCGCGUGAGUGAAGAAGUAUUUCGGUAUGUAAAGCUCUAUCAGCAGGGAAGAUAAUGACGGUACCUGACUAAGAAGCUCCGGCUAAAUACGUGCCAGCAGCCGCGGUAAUACGUAUGGAGCAAGCGUUAUCCGGAUGUACUGGGUGUAAAGGGUGCGUAGGUGGCAUGGUAAGUCAGAUGUGAAAUACCGGGGCUCAACCCCGGAGCUGCAUUUGAAACUGCCAGGCUGGAGUACAGGAGAGGCAAGCGGAAUUCCUAGUGUAGCGGUGAAAUGCGUAGAUAUUAGGAGGAACACCAGUGGCGAAGGCGGCUUGCUGGACGACAACUGACGCUGAGGCGCGAAAGCGUGGGGAGCAAACAGGAUUAGAUACCCUGGUA